GCCACCUUAGCUCAGAGGCAGAGCAACUCUUUUGUAAAGAGAAGGUCCUCGGUUCGAAUCCGAGAGGUGGCUCCA
RNAcentral lists this transfer RNA (75 nucleotides) under Candidatus Colwellbacteria bacterium RIFCSPHIGHO2_12_FULL_44_17. RNAcentral describes it as "tRNA-Thr". It matches the Rfam family "tRNA". Rfam says of the family: Transfer RNA (tRNA) molecules are approximately 80 nucleotides in length. Their secondary structure includes four short double-helical elements and three loops (D, anti-codon, and T loops). RNAcentral also lists the same sequence under 2 other names. Lineage: Bacteria; Candidatus Colwelliibacteriota. The record is from RNAcentral.